UACGGGGGGGGCAAGCGUUGUUCGGAAUUACUGGGCGUAAAGGGCUCGUAGGCGGGUCUUUAAGUCAGGGGUGAAAUCCUGGAGCUCAACUCCAGAACUGCCUUUGAUACUGAAGAUCUUGAGUUCGGGAGAGGUGAGUGGAACUGCGAGUGUAGAGGUGAAAUUCGUAGAUAUUCGCAAGAACACCAGUGGCGAAGGCGGCUCACUGGCCCGAUACUGACGCUGAUGCACGAAAGCGUGGGGAGCAAACAGG
This 253-nucleotide ribosomal RNA is filed under the name uncultured bacterium. RNAcentral describes it as "partial 16S ribosomal RNA". It matches the Rfam family "Bacterial small subunit ribosomal RNA", at positions 524 to 776 of the family's 1533-position model. The record is from RNAcentral.